This 695-nucleotide long non-coding RNA is filed under the name Coffea arabica (coffee). RNAcentral's name for it is "long non-coding RNA (CARA_LNC001882)". The record is from RNAcentral. Lineage: Eukaryota; Viridiplantae; Streptophyta; Magnoliopsida; Gentianales; Rubiaceae.
AAAGUUAGCAAAUUCAGGGGAAGUGCUGUCCGAACUUUGAAGGGAUUUGUUUGCGAUCUAGGACUUGGAUUUGAGCAAGGCAAUGAAGUGUUUCUUGCAUUAUUUCUGAGCCAUGGAGGUAAGUGACCCUAAACUGUUUCCAAAGUUACUUACGAAGUGUUUCUUGCAUUAUUUACUCGACUGCAUAUCAUGCGUGCUUGCAUGUGAGUUCAUGACAUGUUUUGGCUUGAAAUGAGUACUUGGGGAGUCUUGUGCUGAACACCAACGUCUCCUCCGUUUGUUUAUGUUCAUGUUCAUCUGGAGCUCAAAAAGGGGCUCCCUCUUAAUGUUAAUGUUAAUGUUAAAUGAUCUGUUUGAGCGUUGGGUGUUCAAGUACUAUGAUUUCACUGGCUCACGAGAGCAAUAAACGGACAUUUGAUCUCUGAAUCAUGACAUCAUCGAAAUGAUCGAAAUGCAUUAUUGUGAAAUAUAUUUGAUUUCUGAUUUUACUGGUUACUCGCUGAGCUUCUAGCUCACCCCAAAAAUAUUUUAUUCCCCUCCACAGGGCUCAAAGCGAAGGAAGGUCUUGUUGUGCUUAUUCACAUGUCUGGAUGGCCUAUGUUUUGUACAGUUUGGAUUUGGAAAUCAUUUUAUGUAUAGUUGAGAAUUAUUUUCGCUUCGCUUUUGACAUGUAAUUAUUGGAGAAUUUGAUGUAA